Molecule: non-coding RNA, 55 nt
Organism: Salmo salar (Atlantic salmon)
Lineage: Eukaryota; Metazoa; Chordata; Actinopteri; Salmoniformes; Salmonidae
Source: Rfam
UGAAUGCACUAACUGUAAGUCGCUCUGGAUAAGAGCAUCUGUUAAAUGACUAAAA